Molecule: ribosomal RNA, 493 nt
Filed under: uncultured bacterium
Lineage: Bacteria
Description: partial 16S ribosomal RNA
Rfam family: Bacterial small subunit ribosomal RNA
Source: RNAcentral
ACGAACGCUGGCGGCGCGCUUAACACAUGCAAGUCGAACGGAAAGGCCUGCUUUCCCUUGUGGAUUGCGGGUACUCGAGUGGCGAACGGGUGAGUAACACGUGAGUGAUCUGCCCCCAACUUGGGUAUAAGCCUGGGAAACUGGGUCUAAUUCCCGAUAGGACUGCAGGGUGGUGCCUGUGGUGGAAAACGAUUUUCUAGUGGUUGGGGAUGAGCUCGCGGCCUAUCAGCUUGUUGGUGGGGUAAUGGCCUACCAAGGCGGCGACGGGUAGCCGGCCUGAGAGGGUGGACGGACACAUUGGGACUGAGAUACGGCCCAGACUCCUACGGGAGGCAGCAGUGGGGAAUAUUGCACAAUGGGCGGAAGCCUGAUGCAGCGACGCCGCGUGGGGGAUGACGGCCUUCGGGUUGUAAACUCCUUUCGACCGCGAGGAAGCCACCUGGUUGGAAGGGUGGUGACGGUAGUGGUAGAAGAAGCACCGGCUAACUACGUG